Molecule: long non-coding RNA, 1049 nt
Organism: Leopardus geoffroyi (Geoffroy's cat)
Lineage: Eukaryota; Metazoa; Chordata; Mammalia; Carnivora; Felidae
Exons: 2
Source: RefSeq, a predicted model, not a curated record
CACCGGGAGGACAUGGGCUUUGUCUCAGAGCGCAACGCAGUAUUUAAACACAGGAGUAACAUGAUGUAACUUGCUGGCUUUUUAAAAAUGCAUUUUAGAUUUUAAAAGGAUCACAGGAUCAGCUUGUCUGCUGCGUUGGGAAGACCAGGGGUAAAAGCAGAGAGGCGGGUUAGGGGGUCAUUGUCCAGAUGAGAGAUUCUGGUGGCUUCAAUGAGCAUUGUAACAGUGAGGGUGGUCGGGAGUGGUUUGGACUCCGAUGUGUUCUGGACAGGAAUUUCUGACAGAUUUGUCUGGGAUAUGAGAGGAGAUAAGCAUAAUGCUCCUGUCGGACAGAAAAUGAUAAUGCAGGAAAACACUGUAUUUUUAAACUCUUAAUAGGUUUUUGUUUGCUCAAAGUGUGUCCAUUCUAUUGAAUUGCACAGAGCGAAACUGCAUGUACAUGAAAGCUUCGUUAACGUGUUUCCCACAAUGUUAGCACAGUGAAUCUUGGGAAGAGGGGUCUCUAGGAGAGGGUCUUGGGUAACCAUGCACGGCCAUGGACCUCUGACCUUUGAGAGGACAGCUAUGCCGUGAUGCUGUUAACUUAUCUAAUUUCCAUCCACCAAAGAUGAAGUGACAUUUAAUGAUUUCAUUAAUUGAAAUUCUGCUCUUUUGACCUUGGGAUUUCCAAAUUUGUGAUUUUUUUUUUUUUUUUUUUAUUCUUUCCUGCAAUCUUGCCAGGCUGUCUUCAAGAAGAAUUUUAUACUGCUGUCAUGAGAAAAUCGCUUACGGUUCCUUCAGAUGUCAAGAUUCUGUCAUUUCUGCAGAUGUGGCCCAUUGUGAUUCAGGAUCUGAGCGUUCUCUGUAUAACAGUUUUUACUUGGUUCUUCGUGAAGACGAUGCAUCGUGCUUCUUUUGAGAACCAUGGGGAUCAUUCCCAAAUAAUUCAAAGAAGGAUUGUUUGUUUAUUUUAACCUGUGCUAGUUAUUAAAAUUCAUUUUAUGUGUAUGAAGUCAUAUAGGUAUCAGCAUGGAAAAUAAAGCUAUUUUCUUUUACCUCAGUCAAAACCA